CCUACGGGAGGCAGCAGUGAGGAAUAUUGCACAAUGGGGGAAACCCUGAUGCAGCGACGCCGCGUGAAGGAAGAAGGUGUUCGGAUCGUAAACUUCUAUCAGCAGGGCAGAAGAAAGUGACAGUACCUGACUAAGAAGUCCCGGCUAACUACGUGCCAGCAGCCGCGGAAAUACGGGGUGGGCAAGCGUUAUCCGGAAUCACUGAGGGUAAAGGGUGCGUAGGCGGUAGGGGAAGUAAGAUGUGAAAGCCCGGCGCCCAACCCCGGGACUUCAUUUGAAACUGUCUUACUAGAGUGCAGGAGAGGAAAGCGGAAUGCCUAGUGUAGUCGUGAAAUGCGUAGAGAUUAGGAUGAACCCCAGUGGCGAAGGCGGCUUUCUGGACUGUAACUGACGCUGCGGCACGAAAGCGUGGGGAGCGAACAGGAUUAGAUACCCUUGUAGUC
RNAcentral lists this ribosomal RNA (443 nucleotides) under uncultured bacterium. RNAcentral's name for it is "bacterial SSU rRNA". It matches the Rfam family "Bacterial small subunit ribosomal RNA", at positions 338 to 795 of the family's 1533-position model. The record is from RNAcentral.